Molecule: ribosomal RNA, 275 nt
Filed under: uncultured bacterium
Lineage: Bacteria
Description: partial 16S ribosomal RNA
Rfam family: Bacterial small subunit ribosomal RNA
Source: RNAcentral
CCUACGGGUGGCUGCAGUAGGGAAUAUUGGACAAUGGGCGGAAGCCUGAUCCAGCCAUGCCGCGUGCAGGAAGAAGGCGUUAUGCGUUGUAAACUGCUUUUGAUCAGGAAUAAAAAGACCCUGCGGGGUAAAUUGAAUGUACUGAUAGAAUAAGCCACGGCUAACUACGUGCCAGCAGCCGCGGUAAUACGUAGGUGGCAAGCGUUAUCCGGAUUUAUUGGGUUUAAAGGGAGCGUAGGCGGUUUUGUAAGUCAGUGGUGAAAGACGGUCGCUCA